CCUACGGGUGGCAGCAGUGGGGAAUAUUGGACAAUGGGCGAAAGCCUGAUCCAGCCAUGCCGCGUGUGUGAAGAAGGCCUUCGGGUUGUAAAGCACUUUCAGUGGGGAAGAAAGCCUUGGGGCUAAUACCCUCGAGGAAGGACAUCACCCACAGAAGAAGCACCGGCUAACUCCGUGCCAGCAGCCGCGGUAAUACGGAGGGUGCGAGCGUUAAUCGGAAUUACUGGGCGUAAAGCGCGCGUAGGCGGUCUGAUAAGCCGGUUGUGAAAGCCCCGGGCUCAACCUGGGAACGGCAUCCGGAACUGUCAGGCUAGAGUGCAGGAGAGGAAGGUAGAAUUCCCGGUGUAGCGGUGAAAUGCGUAGAGAUCGGGAGGAAUACCAGUGGCGAAGGCGGCCUUCUGGACUGACACUGACGCUGAGGUGCGAAAGCGUGGGUAACAAACAGGAUUAGAUACCCGAGUAGC
Molecule: ribosomal RNA, 464 nt
Filed under: Vreelandella stevensii
Lineage: Bacteria; Pseudomonadati; Pseudomonadota; Gammaproteobacteria; Oceanospirillales; Halomonadaceae
Description: partial 16S ribosomal RNA
Rfam family: Bacterial small subunit ribosomal RNA
Source: RNAcentral